UCUUAGUGUAAAUAAUACUCCUAUUACAUGUCUACAUGUGAACUUUUGUGGUACUAACAAUUAAAAAGUGAUUAAGUUAUUACAAUAUGUCAAAAAUUACAAAAUCAGUCAAUCUACGUAAAUGAAUCUCUUGUCCGAUUCCACGCAUUUUUAAAACAACUAUUUUUGGUGGGAAUUUCACAUUAUUUUUUCAUCAUCUUCAUUUCACAUGUCCGAGUUUACUUCAUUUCCAAAUUGACAAGCUUAAUUAUGCGAUUGCAACUGCAGAAGUGGCAGUCAUAGCAAAGAACAAAUGGAAUCAGCAGCUAUUUCACAAUUGAAAAAAAAUUCAGACAGCUUGCUUGCUGCUGUCUGAUUCAAUUCUAGCUGUUUACUUGAAUGAACACACAUUAAAAUGUAUUAUUGCUAACUUCUGCAAUCCUUAUAUACUCAUUCACCUCUGACGAGGUGACAAGGACAAAAAAUUGAAACGAUUCUUACUUCUUUCUCGAUCUCGUAGCGCAAUCCGCCUUGCCUUUUGCAGCCUUAAUCUUCGCAGCAUUCUGCUUCAUAUCGCCUUGUUUUUGCUCUUUCUUACCGCCAUGUUUCCUUUCGCUGGUGCUCUUUCCAUAUCCGUAUCCAAGGUGUUUGUUAUAUUGCCCAAACUGAUCACUGGGAGCAGAGGAAGCAUCAGAAACCAUUGAAUCAUCGCUAUCUGCAUCUUUCUCCCUGUGCUCUUCUCCACCUUGGCUACGCUCUCGAUCAUCAUCGCCGUCGUGGUGUGGGGAGUCUAUAUAUGCCGUCCACCCCGACUCGUUGCUGCUGCUGCCUUGAGAGAAUUUGGAAGGAUUCAUUGUAGGUAGAGAGAGGUGAGGGGAUAUAAUUUUGUGAUGCUUUUGUCCUAUUUAUGGAAGAAUUUCUUGACUGGAAUACUCUUCAUCACUUUGAAUGUUUUCAUGCAUGAAAAAAAUGAAAGUACUGAUUAGCUGUCUGUGCAGAUUGAAUUACACCAAUAUGUGGCUUUUUUAUUUAUAAAGAUUAAAGAUGGGACCUUUUUGCAGGUUUAAGUUUUUUUUUUCACUUGAUUAACAGAGAUUUUAGACCCUUUUACGACAAUGUCGGCCCUCAAAAUCUUGAUGCUCUUUUUAUGUAUUCACAAGCAUAAAGCUGUCUGUGGAUGAUGACAAAAGUCGGGCCGAGCCCCACCCCGCCCACGAGCAUGGUAAAAUAUGCGAAACGAGACUCUGUUGUGGUUGUGGUUUUGAACCCUUUUAUAAGUUGUGAUGGUAUCAAAGAGGAUGAGAGGGAGGGAGUCAAGGGACCCUUCAAUUUCAGGAAAAAAAAAGAAAAAGGAAAAGGGUAUUAGUAUUUAUCAUCACAGUUUGUCUUGGAUGUUAUAGCAUGUUUGCAGAAGAGGGUUGAUGUAGGAAACGGACGGAUGUCGAUCUGAUUUGGAGCCUCGGCUUGGCCAUAUUCCGGCGUGGUUCCCUACCAUAGUGUCAAUGGCUUGGCCUAUUCUCUGUUUGAACUUGCAUUCAUUGUCUCAGUGUGUUGAAUUGUCUAUAUGUUUUCUCAUUCAGAAAAUGACUUCAUUUCUUGGAGUUGGGCUCCAUGUUGAGACAGUUUCUUGGAGGUUUUCAAUCAGUGGGACAAACAGGGCCUUAGCUGGGGUUUGGAUGAAACAUUUUGUUGGUUUGCACAUAUUGGUUUACUGGUUUGAAAAUGUGGCAGCUAAGUAUAAUUUGGAUUGGGAUGUUGACAGUGUUGGGGCUCUCGUCUGCAAAUGUUGUUUCAUCAACAAUUUCACGUGUAUUCACUAACCACUCAGACUACAUUCUUUAUUUCUAUUAAGUUCUUUUGUAUUAUCGUACUCAAAUAUUAUAUACUCCCCAUAAUUUUAUCUA
Long non-coding RNA from Salvia splendens (bonfire salvia), 1883 nucleotides. RefSeq lists it as uncharacterized. The record is from RefSeq and is a predicted model, not a curated record. The transcript is spliced from 2 exons. NCBI's taxonomy places the organism in Eukaryota, Viridiplantae, Streptophyta, Magnoliopsida, Lamiales, Lamiaceae.